AACGCUAGCUACAGGCUUAACACAUGCAAGUCGAGGGGCAGCGGGAUUGAAGCUUGCUUCAAUUGCCGGCGACCGGCGCACGGGUGAGUAACGCGUAUCCAACCUUCCGUACACUCAGGGAUAGCCUUUCGAAAGAAAGAUUAAUACCUGAUGGUAUGAUGAGAUUGCAUGAUAGCAUCAUUAAAGAUUUAUCGGUGUACGAUGGGGAUGCGUUCCAUUAGGUAGUGGGCGGGGUAACGGCCCACCUAGCCAACGAUGGAUAGGGGUUCUGAGAGGAAGGUCCCCCACAUUGGAACUGAGACACGGUCCAAACUCCUACGGGAGGCAGCAGUGAGGAAUAUUGGUCAAUGGACGAGAGUCUGAACCAGCCAAGUAGCGUGAAGGAUGAAGGUCCUACGGAUUGUAAACUUCUUUUAUAAGGGAAUAAACCCUCCCACGUGUGGGAGCUUGUAUGUACCUUAUGAAUAAGCAUCGGCUAACUCCGUGCCAGCAGCCGCGGUAAUACGGAGGAUGCGAGCGUUAUCCGGAUUUAUUGGGUUUAAAGGGAGCGCAGACGGGUCGUUAAGUCAGCUGUGAAAGUUUGGGGCUCAACCUUAAAAUUGCAGUUGAUACUGCCGUCCUUGAGUGCGGUUGAGGUGUGCGGAAUUCGUGGUGUAGCGGUGAAAUGCUUAGAUAUCACGAAGAACUCCGAUUG
RNAcentral lists this ribosomal RNA (694 nucleotides) under uncultured bacterium. RNAcentral describes it as "bacterial SSU rRNA". It matches the Rfam family "Bacterial small subunit ribosomal RNA", at positions 32 to 715 of the family's 1533-position model. The record is from RNAcentral.